GAGAGAUUACGAAAGGGCGUAUGGGGGAUGCCUAGGCUCUUAACGAAGACGAAGGACGUGAUAAGCUGCGAAAAGCUGCGGGGAUUAGCACAUAUGAGUCGAUCCGCAGAUAUCCGAAUGGGGCAACCUAUCAUGUUAUGCAUGAUAUCCGCGAGGAGUAUUACCUGCUGAACUGAAACAUCUAAGUAGGCAGAGGAAGAGAAAACAAUAGUGAUUUUGUUAGUAGCGGCGAGCGAACGCGAAACAGCCCAAACCGAUAUUGUUACGGCAGUAUCGGGGUUGUAGGACUACGAUAUUUUAUAUAUAAGAGAACUAGAAUAAGUUGGAAAGCUUAACAAAAUAGUGUGAUAGUCACGUAUAGGUAAUUUUAUAUAUAGAUAGUAGUAUCCUGAGUAGUGCGGGGCACGAGAAACCUUGCAUGAAUCCACCGGGACCAUCCGGUAAGGCUAAAUACAGUUAAGAGNNNNNNNNNNCUUACAAGCGGUCGGAGCCGCGCCUUUGGCGUGGUGACGGCGUGCCUUUUGCAUAAUGAGCCUACGAGUUAUUGGUAUUGGCGAGGAUAACCUGCAAGAGCGGGGGAUUCGUAGCGAAAGCGAGUUUUAAUAGGGCGUUAGUCAUUAUCAAUAGACGCGAACCCGGGUGAUCUAUCCUUGGGCAGGUUGAAGCUGUGGUAACACAUAGUGGAGGACCGCACCCAUUAACGUUGAAAAGUUUUGGGAUGACCUGAGGAUGGGGGUGAAAGGCCAAUCAAACUCG
RNAcentral lists this ribosomal RNA (756 nucleotides) under Balneolaceae bacterium. RNAcentral's name for it is "partial 23S ribosomal RNA". It matches the Rfam family "Bacterial large subunit ribosomal RNA", at positions 1 to 841 of the family's 2925-position model. The record is from RNAcentral. Lineage: Bacteria; Pseudomonadati; Balneolota; Balneolia; Balneolales; Balneolaceae.